This 440-nucleotide ribosomal RNA is filed under the name uncultured bacterium. Its description in RNAcentral is "partial 16S ribosomal RNA". It matches the Rfam family "Bacterial small subunit ribosomal RNA", at positions 338 to 795 of the family's 1533-position model. The record is from RNAcentral.
CCUACGGGAGGCAGCAGUGGGGAAUAUUGCACAAUGGGGGAAACCCUGAUGCAGCGACGCCGCGUGAGUGAAGAAGUAUUUCGGUAUGUAAAGUUCUAUCAGCAGGGAAGAAUAUGAUGGUACUUGAUUAAGAAGCCGCGGCUAACUACGUGCCAGCAGCCGCGGUAAUACGUAGGGGGCAAGCGUUAUCCGGAUUUACUGGGUGGAAGGGGAGCGUAGACGGCAGCACAAGUCGAGAGUGAAAUGCCGGGGCUUAACCCCGGAACUGCUUUGGAAACUGUGCAACUAGAGUGCAGGAGAGGUAAGUGGAAUUCCUAGUGUAGCGGUGGAAUGCGUAGAUAUUAGGAGGAACACCAGAGGCGAAGGCGGCUAACUGGACUGUAACUGACGUUGAGGCUCGAAAGCGUGGGGAGCAAACAGGAUUAGAUACCCGAGUAGUC